This 697-nucleotide ribosomal RNA is filed under the name Teloganella sp. BYU IGCEP161. RNAcentral describes it as "bacterial SSU rRNA". It matches the Rfam family "Eukaryotic small subunit ribosomal RNA", at positions 53 to 735 of the family's 1831-position model. The record is from RNAcentral. Lineage: Eukaryota; Metazoa; Arthropoda; Insecta; Ephemeroptera; Ephemerellidae.
GCUGUCUCAGUGCAAGCCUAAUUAAAGUGAAACCGCAAAUGGCUCAUUAAAUCAGUUAUGGUUCAUUAGAUGAUACAUUAUUUUACUUGGAUAACUGUGGUAAUUCUAGAGCUAAUACAUGCAAAUUGAGUUCCCAUCGGUGACGGUAGGAACGCUUUUAUUAGAUCAAAACCAAUACGUUUGCUUCGGCAUACGAUUUCAAUGGUGAUUCUGAAUAACUUUUUGAUGAUCGUACGGUCCUUGUAUCGACGACAAAUCUUUCAAAUGUCUGCCUUAUCAACUGUCGAUGGUAGGCUCUGCGCCUACCAUGGUUGUAACGGGUAACGGGGAAUCAGGGUUCGAUUCCGGAGAGGGAGCCUGAGAAACGGCUACCACAUCCAAGGAAGGCAGCAGGCGCGCAAAUUACCCACUCCCGGCACGGGGAGGUAGUGACGAAAAAUAACGAUACGGGACUCAUCCGAGGCCCCGUAAUCGGAAUGAGMACACUUUAAAUMYUUUAACRAGUAYCYAWUGGAGGGCAAGUCUGGUGCCAGCAGCCGCGGUAAUUCCAGCUCCAUUGGCGUAUAUUAAAGUUGUUGCGGUUAAAAAGCUCGGUAGUUGGUAUCAUGUGUMUCGGACGGUCGGUUCGCCNCNCNCGGUGUUCAACUGACCGGUCCGGACGUCCUGCCGGUGGGACCCGGUUCGCGCCGGGCCCCGU